GAUGAACGCUGGCGGCGUGCCUAAUACAUGCAAGUCGAGCGAACAGACGAGGAGCUUGCUCCUCUGACGUUAGCGGCGGACGGGUGAGUAACACGUGGAUAACCUACCUAUAAGACUGGGAUAACUUCGGGAAACCGGAGCUAAUACCGGAUAAUAUAUUGAACCGCAUGGUUCAAUAGUGAAAGACGGUUUUGCUGUCACUUAUAGAUGGAUCCGCGCCGCAUUAGCUAGUUGGUAAGGUAACGGCUUACCAAGGGGACGAUGCGUAGCCGACCUGAGAGGGUGAUCGGCCACACUGGAACUGAGACACGGUCCAGACUCCUACGGGAGGCAGCAGUAGGGAAUCUUCCGCAAUGGGCGAAAGCCUGACGGAGCAACGCCGCGUGAGUGAUGAAGGUCUUCGGAUCGUAAAACUCUGUUAUUAGGGAAGAACAAAUGUGUAAGUAACUAUGCACGUCUUGACGGUACCUAAUCAGAAAGCCACGGCUAACUACGUG
RNAcentral lists this ribosomal RNA (497 nucleotides) under uncultured bacterium. Its description in RNAcentral is "partial 16S ribosomal RNA". It matches the Rfam family "Bacterial small subunit ribosomal RNA", at positions 28 to 507 of the family's 1533-position model. The record is from RNAcentral.